GGUGAACGCUGGCGGCGUGCCUAAUACAUGCAAGUCGAGCGAACAGACGAGGAGCUUGCUCCUCUGACGUUAGCGGCGGACGGGUGAGUAACACGUGGAUAACCUACCUAUAAGACUGGGAUAACUUCGGGAAACCGGAGCUAAUACCGGAUAAUAUAUUGAACCGCAUGGUUCAAUAGUGAAAGACGGUUUUGCUGUCACUUAUAGAUGGAUCCGCGCCGCAUUAGCUAGUUGGUAAGGUAACGGCUUACCAAGGCAACGAUGCGUAGCCGACCUGAGAGGGUGAUCGGCCACACUGGAACUGAGACACGGUCCAGACUCCUACGGGAGGCAGCAGUAGGGAAUCUUCCGCAAUGGGCGAAAGCUUGACGGAGCAACGCCGCGUGAGUGAUGAAGGUCUUCGGAUCGUAAAACUCUGUUAUUAGGGAAGAACAAAUGUGUAAGUAACGAUGCACGUCUUGACGGUACCUAAUCAGAAAGCCACGGCUAACUACGU
This 496-nucleotide ribosomal RNA is filed under the name uncultured bacterium. RNAcentral's name for it is "partial 16S ribosomal RNA". It matches the Rfam family "Bacterial small subunit ribosomal RNA", at positions 28 to 506 of the family's 1533-position model. The record is from RNAcentral.